RNAcentral lists this ribosomal RNA (572 nucleotides) under uncultured bacterium. Its description in RNAcentral is "bacterial SSU rRNA". It matches the Rfam family "Bacterial small subunit ribosomal RNA", at positions 8 to 548 of the family's 1533-position model. The record is from RNAcentral.
AGAGUUUGAUCAUGGCUCAGGACGAACGCUGGCGGCGUGCCUAAUACAUGCAAGUCGAACGAGAAUUUCUUACACCGAGUGCUUGCACUCACCGUAAGAAAUUCGAGUGGCGGACGGGUGAGUAACACGUGGGUAACCUGCCCAAAAGAAGGGGAUAACAUUUGGAAACAAAUGCUAAUACCGUAUAACCAUGAUGACCGCAUGGUCAUUAUGUAAAAGGUGGUUCUGCUAUCGCUUUUGGAUGGACCCGCGGCGUAUUAACUAGUUGGUAGGGUAACGGCCUACCAAGGUGAUGAUACGUAGCCGAGUUGAGAGACUGAUCGGCCACAAUGGGGCUGAGACACGGCCCAUACUCCUACGGGAGGCAGCAGUAGGGAAUCUUCCACAAUGGGCGCAAGCCUGAUGGAGCAACGCCGCGUGAAUGAAGAAGGUCUUCGGAUCGUAAAAUUCUGUUGUUAGAGAAGAAUAUGAGUAAUAGUAACUGAUUAUUCACUGACGGUAUCUAACCAGCAAGUCACGGCUAACUACGUGCCAGCAGCCGCGGUAAUACGUAGGUGGCAAGCGUUGUCCGG